UACGGGGGGGGCAAGCGUUGUUCGGAAUUACUGGGCUUAAAGGGUGCGUAGGCGGCGCGGUAAGUAGGGUGUGAAAUCCCUCGGCUCAACCGAGGAACUGCGCUCUAAACUACCGUGCUUGAGGGAGGUAGAGGUGAGCGGAACUUAGGGUGGAGCGGUGAAAUGCGUUGAUAUCCUAAGGAACACCGGUGGCGAAAGCGGCUCACUGGAUCUCUUCUGACGCUGAGGCACGAAAGCUAGGGUAGCGAACGGG
Molecule: ribosomal RNA, 253 nt
Filed under: uncultured bacterium
Lineage: Bacteria
Description: partial 16S ribosomal RNA
Rfam family: Bacterial small subunit ribosomal RNA
Source: RNAcentral